GAUGAAGAACGUAGCGAAAUGCGAUAAGUAAUGCGAAUUGCAGAAUUUCCGUGAGUCAUCGAAUCUUUGAACGCACGUUGCGCCCGCCAGCAUUCUGGCGGGCAUGCCUGUUCGAGCGUCAUUUCAACCCUCGACCUCCCCUUGGGGAGGUCGGCGUUGGGGACCGGCAGCACACCGCCGGCCCUGAAAUGGAGUGGCGGCCCGUCUGCGGCGACCUCUGCGUAGUAAUACAGCUCGCACCGGAACCCCGACGCGGCCACGCCGUAAAACACCCAACUUCUGAACGUUGACCUCGAAUCAGGUAGGACUACCCGCUGAACUUAAGCAUAUCAAUAAGCGGAGGA
RNAcentral lists this unclassified non-coding RNA (344 nucleotides) under soil metagenome. RNAcentral's name for it is "partial contains 5.8S ribosomal RNA, internal transcribed spacer 2, and large subunit ribosomal RNA". The stretch from base 1 to 121 matches the Rfam family "5.8S ribosomal RNA", at positions 35 to 154 of the family's 154-position model. The record is from RNAcentral.